UGAAAAAUUACUUUCUGUCCAAGAGUAAAAAAAUAAAUAUAAAGGAGCAGAGGAUGCCGUGUCCUUGGUCGGCAGUAGGGGUUGGGGAGAAAUCCCUGAGGUUAAUCUGUCUAAUAGCAGCAAUCCUGGCUGUCACAACCAGCCUGAGAGCCCCUUGCUGCCUCAGAUGACUUUGUUUUGUCCCUGUCUGAGAAAGCCCAACUGAUUAGGACUGCGUUCAAAUUUAUUUGUGUGUCUUUACGUGUGUGCGCUACCCUUAAAAAUUGAGCCACAUAUACAUUGGUUUGUGUUCUGUGGAACAGAUCAAAUUGUCCCCUUAUGCUCACACUCACUUUUCUAUGGCCGUGUGUGUGCAUGCUUGUGUGUGUGUGCGUGCACAAAACAUAACACCAAACUGUCCUUUCUUUCAAGUGUAGCUCACACUCCUUCCUUACCUCCCCAAAUUCACUUCCAAUGUCAAUCCACACACUUGCCAGCCUUUUCAAAUCAACUCACACACACACACACACACACACACACACACACACACACACACACACACACACACACACACACACACACACACACACACACACCGAAAGUUAUGGUACAGUGCCAAAGCUUACUUUCUGUCACAGUCAACUCAUCAUUCAAACCCCUUUGCUGGUGUCUACGAGGCCCUCAUUACACUAUUGAUGAACACUUAUAAUGUAACAAGUGCAUAUAUCUUUACAAGUGCAUAGAUUUUACUGCUGGUGAUUCCUUUAGUGAAAGUGAAAAGCGCACGCUAAGCGUGACACUUUGCUACUCAGCAUGCAGCACAUGGUUUAGUACUGCUUAAUUAUUGAAACUGUAUUAUCACAUCAGUUAGGGGAAAGUGUGGGGAUCUGCAGCCUUUGUCACUGUAUGUUGUUAAACUGAAAAUCUGAGAAAAUGCUUGACCUUGGUAGCCAUGAGAAGGUCAAACAGGCUGUGCAUGCGGUUGGGAUCUCUACAUUUAUAAAUACAUCACAACAUUGCAAAAGACAAGUGAUGGAGACAAUGUUUCAAAUUAUAAGCGAGAAAUGGGCAAUUUGCCAUAUGCUGCUGUAAAUAUAUAGUGGCGUAAUAUCUAGGAGGAAGCCAAUCUCUUGUUUACAUAGCUGGGCAGUAUGCAUGCAUCCUGUCCAUCAUGAUUAAUUAAUAUUAAGGCGUAAUCUAUGUUUGCUUCACUCGUGAAGCAUCAAGCCUCUAACCACAGAGAAAAUAGAAACUCAAUACGAUAAAACAACAUGCAACACAAUCUGAAAAUGUUUGAGUAAGAAACUUUUAGUAUUUUUUUCUUUUACACUGGUGGACAAGCAGGGGCAAAAUAAUCCCUGUUCAUUCUAAUAAAUCCGUAACAAUACAUUGUAGACAAGAAGUAUUUCUUAAACUGCAUGACAAUGUUUAUAGUCCAAGCACCAAUCCAAUCCACCACCCAUACACGACUUUUCUUUGCAGCGUCCCAGGUGGCCCGAGUCUAUCCCGGCUCAAAUUGGGUAGGAGACAAGGUCAGUUUUAUAUAUAUAUCACCUAAAAUCACAAAUGACACAUUUGCCUCAGAGGGAUUUUUCAAUCUGUACAACAUGCAAGGCCCGCUAUUCUAAGACGUGGUCCGUUCUAUGAAUUAGGUCAAGCAAAUAAGGUUCCACAUACGUGACGCCUAAAGAUCAGUAGCCAUGAAGGAUUGUCGGAACCAGUCCGUUUUUAAAUGUAACAAGUAAGAUGAACAAGGGGUGUUUUACCAUCUUUUAGGAUGCAGUGGAGAUAGGCUUGGUAUAAAUAACAACAUAUUUUAAAGAUUGAAAUACAAGGCUGCUGAAGAAAAUUUAAAGAUAUAAAAGUUAAUCCUAUAGUUAAUCAUAUAACAGCUCAUAUCCACCACCCCGAGCUGAGGAGCACUCAGCAGCCCGAGAAGAAGGAGGAAUUUGAUCACUAUUGACACCCUUCUCAAUCAAAGUUUAUCAGGGCUCAGCCAACAACUAACAUCCCACUAUAUCCUAUAAAAGUGUCAACAACUAAAUGCAAGUCAUUUGUUUGGUUAUUUGGUUGCAGUAAAUGUUCUUUUUUGUGUUCAUUUGGCUGUGAAAGCAGCAGCUCCAAUCAUUACCUUAAUUUAGUUUGUUUGUCAGAAAGGUGUAACGUACUGUGUGUCCUCACGUUAUAAACUUGAGUGAAAAGAGCAGAGGGACGAUGUGAACACAGGAUUGUUUCGUUUGGUUAGAGAAGCUCCAGCUCCCUGUUGGACAAAUCCGUGAGAAAGGAACAUUUAUACACCACGAACACAUUAGUACUACACGGCCAUGAUCGAGUCCAUCCUCUGCUCCUCCAUCAUGCUGCAGCCACAGCCAAGGACAAGAGCAGGCUGCAGCGUGUUAUGCGCUCUGCAGAGAGGGUGAUCGGCUGCAAUCUGCCGUCACCUCCAGGACUUGUUCUCUUCUACGACCCUGAAGCGAGCUAAAAAGAUCGUUGCCGACCCCUCUCACCCCGGACAAAACCUGUCCAUCAGGACCAAGACCGCCAACGUUUCUUCCUGUCCGCAGUCGGGCUCAUCGACAGAGACCAGGUCCCCCACUGACUCACUGUCAUCCUGACUUCAUACCGGUCACUCCCUUCACACUGCACAUGCACUUGUCACUUUUUGCUCGCUGGCGCACUUUUUCAUUUAAAUUCCUCUUGCACUAUGUUGUUCUUGCACUACGCUGUCCUGUCUGUCUUGUUGUCCAUUGUCUUACUGUCUGAUGUUACGCACCAACCGUCAAGUCAAAUUCCUUGUAUGUCGAACAUAUUUUGGUGAAAUUUUUUUUCCUGAUUCCUGAGUUUGUCAAUCCAUCAUGGUAAUUGGGUUGCAAAGUCUUUGCAAGUGCUCACAAUUGUUGGUGUUUGCUUUACAUCAGGUUGCACCAUUGAAGAGGAUGCUUUUAGAUAAUACUUAUGAAAUGUGUAAAUCGGUUGUCAGGCAUGGUCUACAGCUAUGUCUGUCAUAAGCGACCAGCGUAGUAAACACAAAUGUCCUGUAGCAUCACAACCUCAUACAGCUUGCAGUUUAUUUCCAUACACAUUUUUUUUUUGCAUGUUUAUUUUCCAUAUUUAUGCACCCAGCAGAUACAGCAGCAGCAACAUUAUUUUUUUCUUUUGUCCGCAUGACAAAUGCAUCUCCAAAAGGCUGUGUUUUGGUUCCAUUCCUGUGGGAAAUACCCAAAUCUUAAGCUGCUACAUGCUCCAUGAUGGCCAGCAUGUUGACUCACGUUGUCACCCGUUCUUACUAUUGGGUGUCGGGUAACAAGCCGACAGUGAGCUGGUCAGAGUAGAACAUCUACACGCUGUAGCUGAAGACAAGCUUGGUUAGAGCAAUGAGACGUCAGUGACAGGCCAUUAGGGCCAAAUCCGUUAUUUUUUUAAGGAUGACAAUGCAUGACUGAAAGGUUGCAUUACAGCAAAAUCAGAUUGUGCAUCUGAAUAAACGUAAGAGUUGGCAUACAUUUAAAGCCAUUUAGAAGUAUACAAGCUGAUAAGGCAAGUGUCCUCGCUUAAUUAACUGAGAGUGACUUUCCAUUUAAUCACUUCUGCAGAUGCUGUAAGGCAUGAAUUCCUUCCGGUGGCUUGUGUUUCAUGAUAGCAAUAAAUGAACCUGUGCCAGGAAUGGGGAUAAAUAAAACAUAUUUCUGGGGUUUGUUAUUGUGGUGAUGACACACCGCUGUAAACAUCCACAACUGCUUUGAGGAUUUGGUGGUAAUCAUAUCAUUGUUGUUGGGAAAGAUGCAUGACAUUCGCUGAAGUUCCAUCGAGCCUCGAGAGACCCACAAAGUACACAUAAAGUUACCACUGAUCUUUAAUCAAUUUAUCCUGCAAUAAGCCGUAGAAAUAGUGGAUGGAGCUGCAUUAAACGGUUUCACUUCAAAAGUCAGAUCUAUACCUUUGAAAAUGGACCUCUGAAUGAUUCCUUUCAGCUGAGUAGUUACUGUAAACAAACCAACAAAAGUGAGCUUUUGUUUGACUAAAUCUAAUAUUCUGUUUGGGGUCUUGGACACCCUAUAGCCUCCUCUAACAUCUCACAGAAACAAACAAGAUCUAAACUUUGAAUAAUCUGCUUGAUACUCGGUGACUCGGUUGCCUACGUGCUUAGAAUUUUGAUUUUAAAUUUGUUUUAGAAAACCGACACAUUCACUUGUGUUUGGGGUCGUAGAGAGAAGAGAAUGUGACAAUGCUGAAGAGUAAAACAAAGGUCAGAAGAUACAAUUUAAACUGUUUUUCUAGUGCAUCUAGACACAGACUAAGUAGGGCUAUUUAAUGUCUGAAACAUUCCAUUUGUAUAGCAAAAGAUAGAUUCUUUUUUUUCUUCAUGCUAAACGGAAUACCCUUAAUUCUUCAUUUCACCGGCAGAUUUCCGUAAAGGGCGCUGGCAAUUGAUUCCAGCAGUACCAUCAAGGUUUAAUCCAUGUAUCAUAAUCAUAUACUAACCUUGAACGUUGUUCGAGCCAAAAUCUGCAUCUCUAUUAAAUCUGUGAAUUUUAAUUAACAUUGCCGAUGAGUCCAGCGUUAGUUGCUGUGGCCAUAUGCUCAUCUCCCUCAGCUUCACAGCAGCUGAAUCAGUGGUCGUCUCUUUUAACCAGAAAACACAAUAUGACAGCAUUUGGCAAGGCCUGUUUUCUCAUCUUAAUACCGUGGUUGGUGCCAAAGCUUAAUUUACUUUUUGAGGGGUUGGAGCACAGCGGCAGCAGGUGGCAGUGUUGUUCUUCUGCAGUUCCAUUGCGGGUUUCUUGGCCUCUGCUGAGGCCCAGCGUUGAUCAAUUAGUUUAUGGAAUGUUGCGUAGACUUUGGUGUACUGGCUCUUGUCCGCUUUUCGCUCUUCACCCGCAGGUCACAGACAGAUUAACAGAUAAAUGAAUCACUAUAGAGCAUUCCAGUGUGUGGUAGAAUCAAUAGAAAUGGCUUCAGAAAUUAGAAGAGGAUCUCGCUUUCUCCUUAUUGUCAAUCCCCCAUCGCCAAAGCUCAAACAGAUAUACUUUACAACUUUACUUGAAUAACGUGUGAUUGUUCAACAAAACAGUUUGGAAGAAUCAAGGCUUAUUCAUUGUCAAUAAAUUAAUAUAAAAAAAGAGACAUAAAAGAGGUGAUGGAAAACCUUUCAAGCUCUACUGAAAACCAACUGGUUGUUAAGCAUAUUGUUAAUUUCAAUGAAAAUUAAUUUCCUUUCAUUUUAAUUGUGUAAGGUCAACUAACUUUGAAUAGCUUAGUGAGCCCACUAUUAUCAUUAAAUGUGUGCUGAUUGGGACUGGCCUCAGCUGAACAGUUAAUGUGCUUGAAAUAGAACAUAAAAUUGUGGGUGCAAACCUUCUGGGAAAACGAUAAGGAGAAUCCUCUCUUUUUAAUGAAUCAAUUGUGUUCCUAGCAAAAAGAAAUCCAUUACAUACCUAAAUAUCGCUUAAUGAAAGACAAAGAAGUUAAACGCUUAGCAAUCAGUCGAGAUAGGAAGGCACUUAAUUUUUUAUUUAAAGGAAAUACAGUCAUUAAUUAGCAAGAAUAAUGGGAGUAUGUGUUUGAAGCAUACACCUAAGGGUAGACAUGUUCUUGAUCAAAGCACCGGAGUUGGAUGAAACUUUCGGAUCAAACACCUAAAUUAAAAGGAAUAAAGGCACAUAUUUUUAGAUACGCAGGGAGACAAGUGAAGUUUAAGUGGCUGUAGAUGUUAAUCACAGCUGUUUCCAACGUGUUGGCUUGUGAGGCGUAUGUCUCAUUUCUUCAUAAUUUCGUUGUACGUUAGCAACCCUGUUGUAUGAGUCUAUUCCGGUUCCUUUCUCUCCUUGUCAGAAUGGGAUGAAACAAAAGGCAAUUCGGCUGAGUUUCUGAGUUUUUCCUUCCUGUUCUAAGGAGAGACAAAUUGUGACAGCUACCAGGACUGUGUUUUCGCUCUUCUCUGGCGACGUGUUAUGCAUUAUAUAUUUAAUAUCCUCCUUGAGUGUCACAGCAGGACCGGAAAUUCUACAAAUCUAGUACUUGUGCGGGAUUGUUGAAGAAUUUCUGAAGAAUUGCUGUUUGUGUUUGCAGAGCAGAGUUUCCUCUUAAACCUCGGCUCUGACUCUCAGAUCGCCUUUUUAACAGUGUCACAGCAUGAAGGUCAUCACUAAUUCAACAUGCUGCACCCUGACCAAGUAACAAAAAUGUCCAUGAGAAAGACAAGAAAGCCUCUGUUUAACAUAUUUAAUGCCAGCCAUGUGUGUGGAUCUAAUCAUACGCAUUCUCUUUGAAAGCCCCGAAAAUGAUAAUUAAUUUUUCACGGUGUGAAUUAAAAUCCUAAUUUGGAAAUGUGCGAUCAAAAGAAACAAUUUCAAUAGCUGGUUAGUGGAAGUAAUCCUUGGUGAACAAGGACAAGAGGCGAUGGGGUUCAAAAUAUACCCAGUGGCAGCUUCACAGAAGAAAGCAAAGAGGUUUUUACUCAUUUUUGCUGAAUCAUGGUAAUAAACAACAUAUACAUAGUAAACCACAUUUACAUUUUUUCCCAUUUUAGUUUCUUCUCAAAAUCGCACACCUUUUCAAGAAACUUACACAACUGUGCAUUCCUUGUGACUGCACGCAUCAAUAGGUUGUAAUACACGUUUGACAAGUAGCUAAAUGAGCAGUGCACACAUUCAGUACGUUGCAUCGGAAUCAGACGUGCAGGCUGGAUGGAGAGGUCGCCGAGGUUGUGAAUCACAGAGGAAUCCUAAUCAGGCCCUGUUGCAACUCUAAUUAAUUACAGCCCAGAGGGCAAAAGAUCACACAGAGACCUAAAAGCUUGCACACGGGCUAGCACACACAGGCUAGCACACACUCUGUAAUGACCUUAGAUUCUACCACUUUCCCUCAGCUGGCCGCCCCAGUUAUAUAUCCAGAUACUGACUUUUGACUUAUCUCCAGAGCACUUGGCUGGACUUGUUGCAUCAAGCUACUUUGUGUGUGUAGGCGGCAGCAGCAAAACAGAAAAAGUUUGCACUUGAGAAACGAUGGGAGUCACAGUUGCUGGUCAGAAAUCAAAGCCAGUAUCCGUCAGUGUGAUUUUCUUUUGGCAAAAUAUUGAGUCCAGCAAGCUUGUUUCCCAUCAAUUUUGAAGGAAUAACACUAAUAAGACAUUUUUAGAUAUCUAUUUUUUAGUAUUAGACUAACUUCUGUCAAGGCUGACGGUCAUGGAAAAAUAUCAACAUGAUGAAUACAGAAUCAAACAAGGAAAUGUAUUCAGAAAUGCACUACUAGCUGUAGCCCUUUAACGUGUAUUCUCAGUUUGGCAAAUGGUUGCUCACCAAUGGUUAAAUGUGUCACGGUGUGGUUUUAGUUCCUGUCUUAUUUUGUAGUUUUCGGCUUCUUGUCUCCCUGGGUAACUUCACUUCCUGCCUUGUCCUGUCAUCGUCUGUGAUUGUCUGAUUGUUUCACCUGCACCUCCCUAGUGUAUUUAUGCUGUGUGUGUCUCCUGUCACUUGCCUGCCUCUCGUUCCUGCCUGCCUUUUUGAUCCCCGUUCCUGUGUGUGUUUUUGCCCGUUGGCCUUUGCUUUUGCUUUUUGCUUGCCCGUUUUGACUAUUAAAGUCUCUUUUGUUUAAACUCUGCGUUUGAGUCCUGCAUUCCUACCCAACCCUGACAAAAUGGCGCGACCCAGAAAGGACGCAGCAAUCUCCCGUUGCCGUUCCCCGCCAGUACCGGUCCCGAGACUCUCAGCCCUGACCCCGACUCGGCCAAUACCGGCUCCGAGACUCAUGACCCUGACGCCCCCAGUCCGCGCUCCGAGACUCAUGACCCCGACGCCUCCAGUCCCCGCUCUGAGACUCAGGCUCUCUCCCUCCCAUCCCAUGGUCCGCUCCCACCCUCCCGUUGGUGAGUUGAGGGCCGUCUGGGAUCCGGCCCUUGAGGGGGGGGCUGAGCCGCCGACUGUGGAGGUGUCCCGUGUCCCCGAGCCGCCGCUGACGACUGCGUAGGUGUCCCGUGUCCCUGAGCCGCCGCUGACGACUGCGGAGGUGUUCCGUGUCCCCAAGCCGCCGCUGCCGACUGCGUAGGUGUCCCGUGUCCCUGAGCCGCCGCUGACGACUGCGGAGGUAUUCCG
This is a long non-coding RNA of Gasterosteus aculeatus aculeatus (three-spined stickleback), 8069 nucleotides long. NCBI's taxonomy places the organism in Eukaryota, Metazoa, Chordata, Actinopteri, Perciformes, Gasterosteidae. The record is from Ensembl.